AGAACUUGGGGUCCUUUACUAUUUAAAUGUCGGAACCCCCUCAACCUACCCCCUCUGUUGUCCCUCUCAGACCCCUCUUCCCAAACCCUAAAAAAGCCAGUCGCCUUAUCCUCUGUCGAACCCACCGACGACAAUGACACAAACCACUCUGAUCACUCCCAUAAAUACACCAUCGUUUCCUUUCAUCCUCCCUAUUACCAAUCCAUGCUUAGUUCUCCUCAAAACCCCUGUAAUCUCCUCGAAUCUUCAUUUGAAUUUAUGAACGCUAGCCGCUGCCUUUGUUCUCCGUUGGCAGCGCCGCCUCAAAUCUCACUAGAAAUCACAACCCACAGCCUUCUCACCCUCCUCUCCCCAAAUCCCAAACUGAAAUCCCUCAAGCCCGGCCUGAAUCCCUCUAUUUUAGAUCUAGGGUUUUGUUCGGAGAUUGGAUUGAAUUUACAAGCUUAAUCUGUGUUUGAAUAGGUCCCAAAAUAAUGCUAUGUGCUUUUUCUUCGCAAGACAAGCAUAUAACACUAUUUCGGAUCGGAUUCGAGGCCAGUCGAUGUGAGGCUGAAAAACAGUGAGUUUUCUUAUUUUUAUUUCUUUCUUUAUUUGUAUAUAAUUCCUUUAAUACAUAGUUUUGAAUUUUUGUUUUCGUUCAUCUUCAGUAUUUCUUUUGUUGAGUUAGGAUUUAUUUAGGGUUUAGAUUGGUGCUGAUGAUAUGUCUUGUUUUAAUAUUGGAUAUGAUUUCCUGUUUAAUUUUAACCGUAGGAUUUCAUGUUUUACUGUUUGUUAGUUUGACAACAAUUUAGCCUUAAGAAAUUUGGUUAAUUAGAAUUAGUUUUAAGUUUUAACCUAAUUGGUUUGGUUAUAGCUGCUCAAUGCAUCUAAUGUUGACCAGGGUAGGGGUUUGGGUUUAGUUAAGCUAAGUCCGUUAAUUCAAGGGAAUUCAACUGUAAUUCAGGUAUUUCAUAUUGGAUAAGUGAUGCAGUAACUGAUUUUGAAACCCCUAGAACAUUCUAGAUGGGGUUCCAAUCAGAAUGUUAAGACUAUAAAGCAGUAACUUGAGUAAUAAGACAUAAAUAAAAGGAAUAAUUGAGUAAAUCUGAAAAAUAAAAGAGGGACUAAUAGAAAAAAAAAUAGGGAAGGUUGCCCUAAGCCUUGCCUAUAAAAGGGCACAUCACUGCCUUGUUAAACAAGUUUAAAAACCCUAAAAAAUUCCCAAAAGUUCGAGCUCUGAAAAAAAUUCCAUAAAAACAAUCCCAAAUUCAAUCUCUGCAAUUCAAAACUGCAAAAACAAAAAUCAAAUGUUGUUAAUCUGAACAUCUGAAAGUUUUCCCUUCAAAUUGGAGUAUUUAGACCUUCAAAAAAUAAACAGAAAACUUUACAAAACAUUGUUCAAUCGAGGUUCAAGUCAUUCUCAGAUUCCAGGGUUUGAGUUGCAUCAUUUAGCCUAGGGUUUGAUUGUUGAAUUUUCUAGAGUUUAAUUGGUUGUUGUUCAUAUAUCCUUAAUCCUGGGUUGCAAUGAGACAAAUUUUGGACUUCCAAUUGAUCUAAAUGUGGUUACUGCUGAUUUAUCAGUGCUGGUAGUUUGAACUGCUAUUGAUCUUCAUCUUCUCUUUGUUUCAUCACAAAUUCGAGGUACACAUUUGAACUUGACUUGGUGUAGCUUUGAGGUGAAAAAAAUGAAAUGAAAAAUGCCAAGGCAUCUGCUCCCUGAACUGUGCUUGUUUGGACAACAAUAGUUAAUAGUCGAAUAGGCCUUAAAUGCUAUGUAAUGGGUUGAUAUAGUUUAAAUGUUGAUUUGUACUUAUAUAAACUUUGGACUGAACAAGACUGUUUUUGAGCUUAUUUAAAUAGUUGGAACUCAUUGUAAGUAACAUGAUUCUUGGAUCAUUACUGAUUCAUUUCUAGGUCUUCGUUAGUUGUAUUCAAAUGUGAACCUAUUUUAGGAGAUAUGGUUAAAAAAUGAAUCGAUAGUUCAUUGUAGCUUCAGUCGCAGAUUUUAACCUUACAAAUGAUUAUAAUCAGCUCUUAUAGUGGGUUAUUAGUAAAAUCAAUGUAUUUGUAUUUUUAAAAGUUGAUCGAGAGCAUGGAAUUUCCGUGUAUUAAUUUGAACAGGCGAGUUGAUCUUGAACCAGGGAAUGUGCGUUUAUGCAUAGUAAGUUUUCGUGAAUUUAAAAGUCUACCAUAGUUAAUGACUAUUCUUGUUUAAUCGUUGCUCUCCACAAUUUGUUUUAUGUAUAUUAGUACAGAGUCCAUACCCCAGUACCUCCCCUAAAUUAGGUCUAUUAAUACUGAAACAAUGUCAAGUAUUGGGAAAAACGGCAUGUCCAAUAAUACUGAUCCAAAUAUAUUAGCAUGAGAGCUGAAAUGAAGCCUGAAUCCCAAUUUACCACCGUUAUGCGGAGGAUCUUAUUUUACACACUAAGAAUUGGGUAUAAUGGCAGUAAAAUGAAAUUGAAUAUAAAUUUGGGCUUUCGAGUUAGGUAGCGAAUUCGAAUUGAGAGGUUUCAUCCUUUUCUUUGAAUUCCGACUUGAAUUUGAGGCCCGAAUUCUGCAACGCUAAUUAACUAGGUCCGUUUAGAGACAAAUUAAAUAGAAAAUAAUAGUUUUCUCUAGGUUGGCUUUUAAAAAAUAAAAAUGAGGUGUGCCGCGCCAAAUAAACCCACAAAUUGUGUGGCCCUCUUUAAUGAUUAUAUUAAAAUGCUUAGAAAUUUGGGGCAUGCCGUUUGGCGAACUUCACGACUUCCCGCAAAGAUAAUAAUACUUUAGUAUAUUUAGGCGCGUCUUUAAUAAUUUUACCUUCCUAAAUACGGGUGUGCAUUUCAUGUGACCCAAGACCAAAUCCCAAAAUGUCGGAUGAAACGUGUUUCGGAUCCGGGUGCAUUUCAUGUGACGCGAUCCAAAGACAUGUUUUAACCAAUGUUCACAUUCCUAAAAAAUUCAAUUAAAAGCAGUAAAUAGUUUAGAAUUGCACUAUAGGGUGAACAUGUAUUAAAAUCAGAUUUUUAGAUAAUUAUAAUAGUUUAAGCGACCGUGCUAGAACCAUGGGAUCCGAGGGUACCUAACACCUUCCUUCGGGCUCAACAAAUUCCUUACAUAGAAUUUCUGGUUCGCAUACUCCAUUUGGGCAAUCAAAAAUUUUUUCGAUUUGGGAUUCAAAAAGAACCGGUGGCUUUGGACACCAAAAGCCAAGCCUAUCCAAAGUGGCAACUCUAAAUAAAUAAAAAAUCCCAUUUCGAACAAUGUCACUUAAAUUGGAAAAACUCCCUUAUACAUUUAUCCUUUGGGGUAGUCAUGUAAAAAGGUGGUGUGACAAUCUUAGCAAGUGAUUCAAAUCCGUCGAGUUUAGGAACAUUGCUUGAUUUCACAAUGAGUUGGCCAAUGCACUAGCUACUUUGGCCUCGAUACUGCCAUAUCCAGGCAAUGUCCAUAUUGACCCCCUGAAAAUCCAAAUUCGAGAAAGAAAUGGUUAUUACAAUGUAGUUGAAAUAGAGCCAGUUGUUCAGCCAUAGUAUCAUGAUAUCAAAAGAUUCUUGAAAACUAAAGAAUAUCCUGAGCAAGCUUGUGGAGACCAAAAGAGAACCAUUAGAAGGCUUUCCAGUGGCUUCUUCUUGAGCGGAGAUUUUUUCUACAAAAAGACUCCAUAUCUAAACAUUUUAAUAUGUGUGGAUGCCCAAGAGGUCGAAAGACUUAUGAAUUAAGUGCACGCAAGAGUAUGCGGACCCCGGAUGAAUGGAUACAUGCUUGCAAAGAAAAUCCUUCGAGGAGAUUAUUACUGGAUUACUAUGGAAAGGAAUAUUUUAGCUUUGUCUGAAAGUUUCACCAGUGUCAUGUACACGGUGACUUGAUAAUGCACUGCCUUCAGAACAACAUCCUAUGUCAUCACCGUGGCCAUUCGUUUCUUGGGGGUAUGGAUGUCAUUCGACCAAUCGAGCCAAAAGCUUUAAAUAGGCACAAAUUGAUCUUGGUUUCCUUUGACUAUUUCACAAAGUGGGUUGACACAGUUACUCUCAAAGACGACUUUAAGAAAGCAGUGGUAGACUUCGUGUAUUCCAACAUUAUUUGUUAUUUGGAUAUUCUUAAAACAAUCAUUAUAGACAAAUCGGCAAAUUUGAACAGUCAUUUGAUGAGGGAGGUAUGCCAACAAUUUAAGGUCAAGCAUCAAAGUUCUACCCCUUUUCAAGACAAAGCUAAUGGUCCCACUGAAGUAGCAAACAAAAAUAUCAACAAUAUUCUUAGAAAAAUAACUUAAAUAUGUAGACAAUGGGAUGAAAAGUUGCCUUUUGCAUUGUUGGGAUAUGGCACAAUUGUGCACACAUCGAUUCGAGCAAUACCCUAUCGAUUUGUUUAUGGAACAUAAGUCGUAAUGCUUGCAGAAGUUGAAAUUCCGUCUUUUCGAACAAUCAUGGAAGCUAAGAUUGAGGAUAAUGAGUUGGUCAAGACCCUUCUAGAACAGUUAACCUUGAUUGAUGAAUAACGGAUGUCCGUAGUUUGCAAUGGGAAGUUGUAUCAACAAAGAAUGGCCCGUGCCUAUAGUACGAACGUGCGGCCUAGGAACUUUGAAGUGGGGCAGCUCAUUUUGAGACGUAUUCUCCAACAUCACAAGGAAGAAAAAUGAAAGUUCGCUCCAAACUGAAAGGGUCCGUACAUUAUAAAAAAUUGUUGCCAAAAGGGGCAUUGUACUUGGGAGACAUUGAAGGGAAGGACCCUAAAACACUUGUCAAUGCAAACACGGCCAAAAGGUAUUACAUUUAACCCCUCUGUAGUACCGGUAUUCUACGAUUAGAAUGAUGAAGUCUUUUAUUCUCGCCACUCAAACACUUCAACCCUUUUCUAACCCUUUGAGCCGGAUACAUUUCUUUCAUUAUCCUUUUUGGAACCCGAAAAGGUUUGUUAAAAAUAAAUCAAAAACAAAGUUCCAUGAACUACAUUUGACCUGAUUAUGAAGGAUAUGUAGGCAGCCUCUCUCUAGGGUUCAGCCGCACCAAAACAAAAAUCUAAUUUUUCGCAAAGCUGAAACUCAAGCAAAAUUUGUAUUGAUUCGGUGACGAUUCAUUGAAAGGUUCAAACGUUGUAAUUCAAUCCAAACACUUUUUACCCUAAAUCCUAUUCAAAUUCCUUUUGAUUAAUCGUUAAAGAUGUUCUAAAUGGGAGGACUUGGAUCAGACACAAUCAAAUAAGAGAAAUAAAAUGAGAGUCCUAUUGGUGAAAACCCACACGGGCACCAUAAAGCGAUGGUGAGCAGAGAAAUUAAAAGUGAGAUUCUUGUUAGUGAAAACUCACAAAGAGCACUUUAAGGUGACGAUGAUAAGAGAAAUGAGAGAGGUCAGUUGGUGGAAACUCGCAAAGGGCGCCACUGAUCGAAAAAAGAAGCACUCAUAACCAUCGGUGCUAAUAAGAGUCCUGGCAAGGUUUCACGAUUUUGAGGCAAAAGUUGUAUUAAGUUUCUAAGAGUCGAACGGUUUGCACAAAUCAGGCAUCCAACCCAAUAAGCAUGUCAUGUCUAUUGAAGUCUACAUGCUCUCCAGAUAAUCCCUUAUUUCCUUUCCCCAAAAGGGAAACUUCUCGCUUAAAUUUAUUAUCAGGUCUGUUGUUUACUUUCCUUUGAAUCCCUUUCGGUAUAAUUCUCCUCCGAAAUAAAUACAAAGAAAACAUAGCAAGAUUGUUUUACAGGGUUUUGUUUGACAAAAGUUAAAAUUAAAGAAAAAGCACCCAGUCUCAGCAAGUGCAUCAAGUCUAUCUGGACUAGCAAUGAUGGUUGAUGCUCCAGAGUCAAAACUUUUGAAAAGGAAAGAAAUAAAGGUCGAGUACCCAUAAAGGCAAAAUAAGAUUAAAAAUGCCAAGCCCCACACUAGUUAACCAUCAUGUGAAAUUUUGGAAAUUCAAGAUCCCUGGGUUUAGAAAUGAAACCAAAUUCCAGAGAGCCAACAAGCAAUAACGAUUUUUAUUGAACGAGCUGGGCUGAAAUAAAGUGAUUGAAACAAUCAAGAGCACAAAACCAACAACCACUUCAAACUUACAAAUUGUUCUUUGAUUUGAAAACAGGAAAAUAGGUACAAUCCAAAACAACCUCGCAAGAAGCAGGUGCAAUAAGAGCAAGGUUCGCGGAGACCAAAAUGGUCGUACAACAGAAGUUAACCUAAAAAGGAAAGUCCCUUUCAAACUGUUAAUGCAUGCUCCUGAAUAAAGUGCUAAAAGUAAAAUGAAAGAAAGAAGAAGAAAAAUUCAAAAUCAUGGUAGCCUAGGUUCUCCAAUCUCUAGCUACAUUUUUCCAAUAUCGGGUUCCAUUCCCUAGUCAGUGUCAGCAUAACCUAGUAGUCUUUUCCAGUAAAGGGUCGCACUCCCUUGUUGAUCCCUGACAUAACCUUAGGACCUUUUCAGCAUAUCCCAAUGACUUUCCUAGCAUAACCCGUGGACCUUUUUCGGCAUGACUCAAUGACCUCCCAAACAUAACCCAUGUACCUUCUCAACAUAACGCGAUAUCUUUACCGGCAUAACCCAUGGACCCUUUCCGGCAUAAACCUAUGACUUUCCCGCAGAACCCCUGUACCCUUUUCGUCAUAACCUGAUGACUUUCUGGGCAUAAUCUAUGGACCCUUUCCGGCAUAACCUGAUAAUAUUUCCGACAUAACCCCUAGACCUUUCCAGUAUAACCCGAUAACUAUCCUGACAUAACCCGUGGACCCUUUCCAGCAUAACCCGAUGACUAUCUCGGCAUAGCUCGGGGACCCUUUCUAGCAUAACUUGACGACUCUCCUAGUAUAACCCGAGGACCCUUUCUGGCAUAACUCGAUGACCUUCCUGACAUAACCCGAGGACCUUUCCGGAAGAACCAAAUGACUUUCUCGCAUAACCCGUGGUCCGUUCCGGCAUAACUUGAUGACUUUCCCGGCAUAACUCGUGGAACUUUUCCGUCAUAACCCAAUGAUUUUCCCUGCAUAAUACGUGGACCUUUCCUGCAGAACCCAUGACUUUCUCGUCACAACCCAUGGACCUUUCCGGCAUAAACCGAUGACUUUUCUGUCAUAUCUCGUUGACCUUUUUCGACAUAACCCGAUGACCACCUCGGCAUAGCCCGAGGACCUUUCCGAUGUAACCCAAUGACUUUCCCGGCAUAACCUGUGGACCUUUUUGGCAUGGCCUGAUGAAUUUCCCAAUAUAUCCGUGGAACUUUUAAGGCAUAAUCCCAUGACCUCCCUGGCAUAACUUGAGGACCUUUACGGCAUAACCCGAGGACAUUCCCAGCAUACCCUGUGAACUUUUCCGGCAUAAUCUGGUCAUUUUUCCAGAAUAACCUGGUAAUCUUCCCCCAACUUAAGGCCUCCAAUCCCCAUUUGAUUUCAUUUUACAUAUGAAGUCUCCACUCUCUAAAAUCUUUUUCUCAAGGAUACUCAAUCUGAAUCUUAUUGCUUUCUACAAAGAAAAAGAUUAGAUUUUGUUGCAAUAACUCACAAAAUUUUAGUAGUGAGGGCUGGGUAGAAACAUUUUGUUUAAUUUUUUUUUCUGGUGCCUGAACAUGUUUUUACCAUAUGGUACGAGGUUUGAGAUGACAAGGUUAAGAAGUAUCAAUCCGAAUAAAGAAAAGAAGUAAACUCUACGUACAGAACGGCAUAUCCCACUGAUCCUAAAGGCUAAAGAAGUAUGAACCAACGGCUGCAGCUAACGAGCAUCAAAAUUCAGAUCAGAAUAUGUAGAAAGAACCAUCCAAGACUCAAUAUCAAGCUUUAGAAGGACUAUAUAUAGGAAUCUUGACCAUCAAGAACAAGUACCUUAUGCCUAAAAUGUGGUGAUUGCGACUGAUUCAACCAUUGCUAGACUGAUCAUGAUACAAGAGGUGUCUGCACCCUAGGCUGUUGAUACAAUAGUCAGGAAAAUUAUUACAUGAGGGAUAAACAAAUUCGAUUUUCUCAUGUGUACAGGGAAGGAAAUGCUGUGGCAGAUAGCCUAGCUAAUUAUGCCAUUGAUGAGGAGAUUUCUGGCACUUCCUCAUGUGUUCAGGGAAGGAAAUGCUGUGGCAGAUAGCCUAGCUAAUUAUGCAAUUGAUGAGGAGAUUUUUUGCACUUUUGAGGAGUUUGACUAGCUGCUUGCACAAGCUAUAAAGCUUAUCAAUGUUGAUAAAGCUCAGAUUCCUAUAUUUAGAGUCAGAGUCCAUCCAUGGAGAUUCUAGUCUUGAUCCUCAAGUGUGUGUACCUGCAAAUAGAAGAAGAUGAACAGGUGGUUAGUCUGAUUCACAUUCAAAAGUUAGGGCCUUAUUUAAACAAAGUAUAUAUAUACUUUUUACCCCCCAACCUAGAGUAGCUAGGUGGGGAAGUCAAAUUAAUCCUUGUUCAUACAUAGGCUUCUCUGGUACGAAAUGGGCCAAUAACUCAUAGUUGAUAGGUUCAACUACUUUAGCUUUUCAUCUUUUACUUCGGUGUAAUAAGGAGCUCAGUAAGCUGAAACAACAACAGUGAAAUCAUGGUUUCUCGGUGGACUACCAAAACCUCAAGAACUACACCGAUCUGAUUCUUUUAUCGCCAAGGAUAUUUAUGAAACCUCCGAAGCAAGGUUCGGUCAUACUUUUUUAAAAAAAUACUUCCCAUGGAUUUUCAAACGGGCAAACAUCGCACAUAAUUGCUCGUUUUAUCUUUGCCCGCAAAUCUUUUGUGUUUCCAAGAAAAGAGGGGCAUUAGUGAGCAUGUGAUUUUUACCCUGUUCAAAAUACUCCUACAAAAUCAAAUAAAUAGAUUUUUUCCCAAUUAUAUGCCAUUUUAUCAAAAAAUUUGAAGGAUUUUGUUAAUUGUUUACAUUUUGUGCUUGUUUAAUUUUAUAAAAAUCAUGAAAAAUCCCCAAAAAUAAAAGACAAUACCACACAUUGUAUUUAGAUUUUGUUUUUAUAUUAUUAGGAUUAAUUAGUUAAUUAAUUGCUUUAUUAAAAUAAAAAUCACAAAAAUUGGCUCAUUUUUGCAUUUUAGCUUUUAAUUGUAGAUUAGUAAUUUUUCUAUUUUAAUUUGGGAUCAACUAAAUGUUAUAAAUAUUAUAAUUAUAUAAUUAGCUUAGAUUGAUCAUUUUGAUUAAUGCAGGAUUUAAUUUAGGAUUUUUAUUAAAGAAAAAAAUAAGAAUGCAAAGAAAUAGAAAUUAGAAAAGAAAUUGGAAAAGGGAAAGGGCUUAAGUCGAAAUUGGGAAAAUUUUAAUCCCAAACCCGCCUAAAAUCAACCCCACUCCCAAGAUUACUCGGUCUAGUUCCCACCCUCCUGAAAAGACCCAGUUUUACCAUAUCCCAAUCACACCCGUUGGAUCCCUAUGCUCCAACGACUUGGAACUAGGAACCACUAUUGUAUAACAUUGUCCUAACAAAGAUCCCCCUAUAGAACCCCUUUCAUUUCCAUCUCCCUCCUCCAAACAAAUCAAAACCUAGCCGCCUUCAUAUGCCUUGCUGCCUCCACCACUGUCCACCAACCCGAAAAUCACCUCACGCCGGUGCCAGUGCUCUAAUCGCUCCAAAUUAACACCCUAUGAGCCUGAGCUCUUUCCCAACACCAUCCUACUAUAUGUAUUCCUAAAAUCCCCACCUAAAUCCACCAAUUUAGAAUCUGAGAUCAAAACCUAAAAACCCUAAGUCUCAAAACCACCCAAACUCACACCCCAUGACCUCCAGACCCCCUAAACUCCAAUCCUUUGUUGAUUUCCCCAAACAACCCCAAAAACUUCCGUAAUUUCAAAUAUAAAAAGGAGUUCAGUUUUUGCAAAGAAAAACUUUUGAGUUUGAUGUUCCAUAAGUAUUUGAGUCCCAAGCUUGUUCUCUGGUGUUUUUCUUCGCAGAUUAGGCUUUCAUGAGUCUUUUCUUUCAAGGAGAUUCGAUCAAAACCAUGCCAGAGAAAAUUCAUUGAAGGAAAAGAAGUUAGUUGAUCAAUUAGUACAGAGAAGGACAUCACAUGGUAUCUUCGUUGCCUUUUAUUCUACAAAUGGUAAGGUCUCACCAGUUACCUCUCCAUUUUAUUUUCUUCAGGUUCGGGUCAGUGAUAUCUUUAGUUUGUUUUUCAGUUUGUGAAUCGUUUGUUUUUCAUUUACAGUCGACCUUGUUUCAAUUGUUGAUUGUGUUCAAAUUUGUUCUUAUCGGUUGAUGAACUUAGUUUAAUUCAUGAUUCAUUUAGUUUAACUCUUAUAAUAGUUGCAUUUAUUUUCACAGCUGUAGUUCGUUUUUUGUUGUUCUGAACCAUCUAUUAGUAUACUUAUAUCAUCUGAUUAAUCUAAACUCUUAAAUAAUUGUUUUGAUUAAUGCAUGUUAGCUUACGAUUAGUUUUUAUUUAAGUUGUUUUAUGUUGUCAUCAUUUGUUUAACUCGUUUGCCUAGGUUAGUCAUUCAAAUAUGUUAAUUUGAAGAGCCUUGUAGCAUUCAUCAUGAACUAGGUUCAGCUCAGGGUUUAGGUUUAUGUUAUUUUCGAUGUUUAAAAUUCAAACACUGCCAUGUUUUGUUGUCUGAUUUACGCUGUCCUACCCAUUUAUGUUUACCCUAAUCUCAAAAUCAGUAGAAACGUCUAGGGUCCUUAUUGAACUAAGAAAAACUUGAGGGAAUUGUAGAACUUAAAAAAUACAUAUCUAGGAUGAGGAAUGUUCUAGAAGUACCAACUAUCCAAAAAAUAGUUUAAAGUUGCUGAAAUGGACAACUGGACGUUAUUCUCUAUCAUGGCACCUGUACCACCUAUAGAAUUAGAGUAGAAUAUUCAUUCGAUUCUAUUUUUGGACCUACUCUAUAAAAAGAAAAGAAAUGCUACACUCAUUCACACAUGCAUUAGAUUAUCAAAACCCUAGAAAGUAUUAAAAGUCUUAGCUACUAUUCCAUUGGUGUUUAGUUCUAUAGUUCUUCUGAUUUUAGCAAAGACUUAAAAAUUCUUGCUCGGAUUUCUAGUUUUCUGAUUCAAGUUUUGUUUAAGCUAAGGUUGCACACUAUUUUCUUUGGCUAUUACUCAUUUCUUGUUGAAGUUCUCACUGUAUUCUGUUCUUUGCUGCAUCCAGGUAAUUCAUGAACUUUGGGUGAUAAAAGAUGGAGUUGUAACCUUUUAUUGUGAAAUGGAACUUCAAGAUCUUUCAUUUUUCUUAUGAUGUAUUCUAAGUAUUUGGUUUUAUAGUUUUCGUAUUUAACUCUGUGUAAGCAUGCUGAAAUUAUGGUUCUAUGCUAUAACUUAGUUGAGAUAUUGUAAGUAUGGAUGCUCAUAUAAUUUAGAUGUUCCAUGUGAUAUUUUUUGAUAACUUUGAAAUGUUAAGUAGAUACAUGAGCUCAUCUGGUCGUUUUUGGGAACUCUGGAUAAAUACUAUGGCCAAAGAAGGCCAUGUUUGAUUUUGGUUAUAUUUUGAGGUAUAUUAGCAUUUCAACAGUGUUUAAAGAUAUUGUAUGUUUAAGUUGUUUUAGAAUUAGUUUAGAGUUUAAUAUUUCAUUGUUAAUAGCAUGCUAAUAGAUUAAACUCAUGAUUUGAUUUUAUCAGCCUUUGAUCUUUGUCCAGAAAUUCUGUAUUGUUUUGUGUAUAUGUGACUUAGAUGAUAUUGAGACUCAAGUGUGCCUUAAAGUUAAAGGCCCUUUUUAUGUAGUCUCAACACUAUGUAGUUCUUUCUUGUUACAUGUAUAAAGGAAAUUAGGCAUCAUUAAGGCCAAAAAGUUACAGGUUUUCCUGUUAAACUAGUUGGGCCUCAUGCUGACCCAGAUGAUGCAGUUUGUUAAAAUCAGGUUAACUGGAUACCUGUUCUGUUCCCCUUGCACUUUUGAGCUUAGUAAUGAGCCCAACUUCCUUCAGCAAAGUUUUGCCCAUUAAGGUUUUUUCUUCUCUAGUACAUUAUGAAAUGAAACUCUAAUGCCGGAAACUUAUUAAUUAAAAGCUGGGCUUGAUUUUUGGCCCAAGCAAAACCGCUAUAGUAGCCUGCCUGCACCUGUGUCCUGAUUUUAUGGGACCAAUUUCGAUCCCUAUUCCCAUUAACCAUAGUUUCUCUUAAAAGAUUUGUAGAUAAUGCAUUAGGCUUGCUCUUGGCCCACUUCUUUUUUUUUAAAAAAUAACUAAUGACUUGCCUUAUAUUUCCGUACAUAUUACAAUUAGUAGUUUGAUAUGGAACUUCAAACUAGUAGUAAAAAAUGAACAUCCUUAGUUCGCUUUAGUUGAGUACAAUUCUUCAAAAAUAAAUUAUGAUGUGCCAUUCAUAAUUGAAUCACCUAAUUUAUAGUCCUCACAUUAAUAUUAUAACUUGGGUAUUAAACAAUCUUGAACAUUCGAAGCUUGCUUUAGGCAUGACUUAGUCUAUUAUUGUGAUUACAUAUACGUUUACGUAAUAUAAUUAUGAUUUUUAUUAAUAAAAUAAAUUGAGGUAUGCGUUCACAUCACAUCGACCAAACAAUCUUUAUUAAUAAAGUGUGAUUAACUGUGGACACAUAUGCGUGACAUAAUUCUUGAUGCGUCAAAUGAAAUGAGUACACGUAUGCGUGACUCAUUUUUCUAAAAUUAUGAAUAAUCAAGCAAUUAAAAGCAGUUAAGGGGAUAAAUGCACAUAGGUCCUAGAAUGAGUAAUUAAAUAAUUUAUGUAAUCAAAGUAUAAUUGGUAAGAGACCAUGCUAGAACCAUGGAACAUUGGAAUGCCUAACAGAUUCUCCCCGGUAAUAUAAUUCCUUAUCUAGAAGUUCUGGUGUGCAGAAUUUUAAAUAAAGUCGAAAACAUUUCUUUGAUUUGGGAUUUACAAUAAAUCGGUAACUUGGCGUACCAUAAUAAACUAUUCUAAGUGAUGACUCUAAAGAAAAUAAAUAAAAUAAUUUUAUUUUGAUUUAUGCCACUUUAAUUAGAAAAAUUCACUUAUAUAUCCUCUCAGGUGUAAAGAGGACGUGUGACAAUAAAAUCUAUGUGAAAAUAUCAAAAAUAUAGAAAGCUACUAAAAGAAGCAAAGAUAAACGGCUAUUGUAGUUGUUCAUAUGUAAAGUUGACCUAAUAAAGUGAAACUUCUAUUAAUACAGGGCUAGAAAUUUCG
RNAcentral lists this long non-coding RNA (12965 nucleotides) under Nicotiana benthamiana. Its description in RNAcentral is "long non-coding RNA (NBEN_LNC033217)". Lineage: Eukaryota; Viridiplantae; Streptophyta; Magnoliopsida; Solanales; Solanaceae. The record is from RNAcentral.